RNAcentral lists this ribosomal RNA (238 nucleotides) under uncultured bacterium. RNAcentral describes it as "partial 16S ribosomal RNA". It matches the Rfam family "Bacterial small subunit ribosomal RNA", at positions 96 to 334 of the family's 1533-position model. The record is from RNAcentral.
CGGCGGACGGGUGAGUAACGCGUGGGUAACCUGCCUCGUACAGGGGGAUAACAGUUGGAAACGGCUGCUAAUACCGCAUAAGCGCACAGUACCGCAUGGUACGGUGUGAAGAACUCCGGUGGUAUGAGAUGGACCCGCGUCUGAUUAGGUAGUUGGUGGGGUAACGGCCUACCAAGCCGACGAUCAGUAGCCGACCUGAGAGGGUGACCGGCCACAUUGGGACUGAGACACGGCCCAA